UACGGAGGGGGCUAGCGUUGUUCGGAAUUACUGGGCGUAAAGCGCACGUAGGCGGCUUUGUAAGUUAGAGGUGAAAGCCCGGGGCUCAACUCCGGAACUGCCUUUAAGACUGCAUCGCUAGAAUUGUGGAGAGGUGAGUGGAAUUCCGAGUGUAGAGGUGAAAUUCGUAGAUAUUCGGAAGAACACCAGUGGCGAAGGCGACUCACUGGACACAUAUUGACGCUGAGACGCGAAAGCGUGGGGAGCAAACAGG
Molecule: ribosomal RNA, 253 nt
Filed under: uncultured bacterium
Lineage: Bacteria
Description: partial 16S ribosomal RNA
Rfam family: Bacterial small subunit ribosomal RNA
Source: RNAcentral